RNAcentral lists this ribosomal RNA (362 nucleotides) under uncultured bacterium. RNAcentral describes it as "partial 16S ribosomal RNA". It matches the Rfam family "Bacterial small subunit ribosomal RNA", at positions 338 to 698 of the family's 1533-position model. The record is from RNAcentral.
CCUACGGGGUGCAGCAGUGAGGAAUAUUGGUCAAUGGACGGAAGUCUGAACCAGCCAUGCCGCGUGCAGGAAGACGGCUCUAUGAGUUGUAAACUGCUUUUGUACAAGGGUAAACCUGAAUACGUGUAUUCAGCUGAAAGUACUGUACGAAUAAGGAUCGGCUAACUCCGUGCCAGCAGCCGAGGUAAGACGGAGGAUCCAAGGGUUAUCCGGAUUUGUUGGGUUUAAAGGGUGCGUAGGGGGAUGGAUAAGUUAGAGGGAAAAUGUCCGCGCUUAACUCGGGAACUGCCUCGAUACUGGUGAUCUAGAGAGUAGAAGCGGUAGGCGGAAUGUAAGGUGUAGCGGUGAAAUGCUUAGAGAUC